GAUGAACGCUAGCGGCAGGCUUAAUACAUGCAAGUCGUGGGGCGGCAGGUUUGUAGCAAUACAGAUGCUGGCGACCGGCAAACGGGUGCGGAACACGUACAGAACCUUCCUUUGAGCGGGGAAUAGCCCAGAGAAAUUUGGAUUAAUACCCCAUAGUAUAAUGAAGUGGCAUCACUUUAUUAUUAAAGAUUUAUCACUCGAAGAUGGCUGUGCGGCUGAUUAGGUAGUUGGCGGGGUAAAGGCCCACCAAGCCUGCGAUCAGUAACUGGUGUGAGAGCACGACCAGUCACACGGGCACUGAGACACGGGCCCGACUCCUACGGGAGGCAGCAGUAAGGAAUAUUGGUCAAUGGAGGCAACUCUGAACCAGCCAUGCCGCGUGGAGGAUGAAGGUCCUCUGGAUUGUAAACUUCUUUUAUAUGGGACGAAAAAGGCUUUUCUAAGUCGUCUGACGGUACCAUAUGAAUAAGCACCGGCUAACUCCGUG
This 487-nucleotide ribosomal RNA is filed under the name uncultured bacterium. RNAcentral describes it as "bacterial SSU rRNA". It matches the Rfam family "Bacterial small subunit ribosomal RNA", at positions 28 to 507 of the family's 1533-position model. The record is from RNAcentral.